ACCCCUCCUGCUGCAGCCCCAGGGCCCCUCGCUGCUGCCACCAUGGACGCAAUCAAGAAGAAGAUGCAGAUGCUGAAGCUCGACAAGGAGAACGCCUUGGAUUGAGCUGAGCAGGCGGAGGCCGACAAGAAGGCGGCGGAAGACAGGAGCAAGCAGCUGGAAUAUGAGCUGGUGUCGCUGCAAAAGAAACUCAAGGGCACCGAAGAUGACUGGACAAAUACUCUGAGGCUCUCAAAGAUGCCCAGGAGAAGCUGGAGCUGGCAGAGAAAAAGGCCACCGAUGCUGAAGCUGACGUAGCUUCUCUGAACAGACACAUCCAGCUGGUUGAGGAAGAGUUGGAUCAUGCCCAGGAGCGUCUGGCAAUCGCUUUGCAGAAGCUGGAGGAAGCUGAGAAGGCAGCAGGUGAGAGUGAGAGAGGCAUGAAAGUCAUUGAAAGUCGAGCCCAAAAGGAUGAAGAGAAAAUGGAAAUUCAGGAGAUCCAACUGAAAGAGGCCAAGCACAAUGCUGAGGAUGCCGACCGCAAAUAUGAAGAGGUGGCCCGUAUGCUCGUCAUCAUUGAGAACGACCUGGAACGUGCAGAAGAGCCGGCUGGGCUCUCAGAAGGCCAGGUCCGACGACUGGAAGAACAAUUAAGAAUAAUGGAUCAGACCUUGAAAGCAUUAAUGGCUGCAGAGGAUAAGUACUCGCAGAAGGAAGACAAAUAUGAGGAAGAGAUCAAGGUCCUUUCCGACAAGCUGAAGGAGGCUGAGACUCGGGCUGAGUUUGCGGAGAAGUCAGUAACUAAAUUGGCGAAAAGCAUUCAUGACUUAGAAGAGAAAGUGGCUCAUGCCAAAGAAGAAAACCUUAGUAUGCAUCAGAUGCUGGAUCAGACUUUACUAGAGUUAAACACCAUGUGAAACCUCCUUAGCCGCGACCACAUUCUUUCAUUUUUUUUGUUUUGUUUUUAAACAACUGCUUACCCCUUAAAUGCAUUUUUAUUUACUUUUACCACUGUCACAGAAACAUCCACAAAAUACCAGCUAGGUCAGGGGGUGGGGAAAACACACAAAAAGGCAAACCCAUGUCAGGGUGAUAAUGGUUUAAAUGUGCCAUUUCCCAGGUUGAUGUUGCCACACUUUGUAGAGUUUAGCAACACAGUAUGCUUAUUCAGCGUAGGAACCCUCACGAAAGCAGAAAAAGUUCCAUUCAAAGUGCCAAUGAUAGAGUCAACAGGAAGAUUAAUGUUGGAAACACAAGGAGGUGUGGAUUGGUGCUACUUUAAACGAAAGGUCCCCCUGUGGUCUUUUGUUCAAUAUUGUACAAUGUAGAACUCUGUCCAAUGCUAAUUUAUUUUGUCUUGAGUUUUACUAUGAGAUGAGACUGUGGAUCCUGCAUGCCUGAAUUCACUGAAGCCUAGGGUCUGUAAGCCACGCUGCUCUUCUGAGACUUGCAUUCCUUUCUGAUUGGCACACGUGCAGCUCAUGACAGUCCACAGGAUAAUAAUCAAUGUGGAUUUCCACUCUUCAGUUCUUCAUGUUAAAGAGAAAGAUUUAGACACUACAUAAAAUUGGUAAAGGACAUUUUCUGGAGAGUUAUAACUAUAUGUAAACAUUGUAUAAUGAUAUGGAAUAAAAUGCACAUUGUAGGACCUUUUCUAAAAAAA
Molecule: non-coding RNA, 1642 nt
Organism: Callithrix jacchus (white-tufted-ear marmoset)
Lineage: Eukaryota; Metazoa; Chordata; Mammalia; Primates; Cebidae
Source: RefSeq, a predicted model, not a curated record